CUCUGACACCCUAGAGAUAGGGCUUUCCCCUUCGGGGGACAGAGUGACAGGUGGUUGCAUGGNUUGUCGUCAGACUCGUGUCGUGAGNAUGUUGGGUUAAGUCCCGCAACGAGCGCAACCCUUGAUCUUAGUUGCCAGCAUUCAGUUGGGCACUCUAAGGUGACUGCCGGUGACAAACCGGAGGAAGGUGGGGAUGACGUCAAAUCAUCAUGCCCCUUAUGACCUGGGCUACACACGUGCUACAAUGGAUGGUACAAAGGGCUGCAAACCUGCGAAGGUAAGCGAAUCCCAUAAAGCCAUUCUCAGUUCGGAUUGCAGGCUGCAACUCGCCUGCAUGAAGCCGGAAUCGCUAGUAAUCGCGGAUCAGCAUGCCGCGGUGAAUACGUUCCCGGGCCUUGUACACACCGA
This 408-nucleotide ribosomal RNA is filed under the name Peribacillus simplex. Its description in RNAcentral is "bacterial SSU rRNA". It matches the Rfam family "Bacterial small subunit ribosomal RNA", at positions 989 to 1393 of the family's 1533-position model. Lineage: Bacteria; Bacillati; Bacillota; Bacilli; Caryophanales; Bacillaceae. The record is from RNAcentral.